GAAAUUGGGCAGAACACGGAGGCGGUUCGCAACUCCAUCACUGAUCUCAAUCGGUUCGGGAAGGUCGUAAAGAUUGAAGCUUUUAACCCUUUUGAGUCAGCCCUUGACGCCCUCAAUCAAUGCAAUGCUGUUUCUGAAGGGCAAAUGACCGAGGAGCUAAGGAACUUCUUGGAGCGAAGUCUCCCAAAAGUCAAGGAGGGUAAGAACUGUAAAUUUUUUGCAGAUAGAAUUUGUUAAUUUUGUUCUCUUUGCUCUUUUGUAUAAAUUUUAUGUAUAGUCACUUUUUGGGCGUCUGCAUGUGUGGUUUUAGCUCUUUCAUUUGAUGGGGUUUUCAGUUUGUUUGAGUUUUGGCUGAGGUAGUGACAUUGUGGUUGUGCGGCAUGGUGACUGAAGUCUCAUAUUAAAAAAGAGAUUUUUUAAUUGUAAGUUUCUUUGAAGUAGAAGUGUCUGUUUUUUGGUGUUCCAAGAUUUUCAUGGGGUCAAACGAUAGUGCUUUUGAUGUAUUGCAGGUUAUUCUCAAUUACUUCUUUUGUUUUGUUGCAUUAGCUAGGUCUUUAUGCUCCAAAAAAAACCCCAGUUCUGAAAUUCUAAAAUUUAGAAGAUUACAAUUGCAUAGGAUUUAAGUUCUAUACAUGUGCAAUGUGUUUCACACUAAUAAUAUGAUUUUACUGCUUGUAGAUUAACCUUCUUUAUUUUCCAGGUCAUAAAUCCACAUUCCCUACUGAUGUUACCUUUAGUUGGUUUUUAAGUAACUUAAUAGUGUUAAAAUGCUGAGAAAACGUGGGUGCUCCAAUUGUCUGACACGCCGAGCUAUUUGAUACUUACCCCUCAGUUUUGUUCUUGUAUUUAUUGGUCUGACUGGAUUUUUGGAAUUGGGAUUUCAGGGCAAAUGACUGAGGAGCUAAGGAACUUCUUGGAGCGUAGUCUCCCAAAAGUCAAGGAGGGUAAGAAGGCUAAGUUCAGUUUAGGAUUGGCAGAGCCUAAGCUUGGUUCUCAUAUCCAUGAAGUAACUAAGAUUCCCUGCC
Molecule: long non-coding RNA, 1025 nt
Filed under: Nicotiana benthamiana
Lineage: Eukaryota; Viridiplantae; Streptophyta; Magnoliopsida; Solanales; Solanaceae
Description: long non-coding RNA (NBEN_LNC027821)
Source: RNAcentral